Molecule: ribosomal RNA, 729 nt
Filed under: Pseudomonas koreensis
Lineage: Bacteria; Pseudomonadati; Pseudomonadota; Gammaproteobacteria; Pseudomonadales; Pseudomonadaceae
Description: bacterial SSU rRNA
Rfam family: Bacterial small subunit ribosomal RNA
Source: RNAcentral
UAGAGUUUGAUCCUGGCUCAGAUUGAACGCUGGCGGCAGGCCUAACACAUGCAAGUCGAGCGGAUGACAGGAGCUUGCUCCUGAAUUCAGCGGCGGACGGGUGAGUAAUGCCUAGGAAUCUGCCUGGUAGUGGGGGACAACGUCUCGAAAGGGACGCUAAUACCGCAUACGUCCUACGGGAGAAAGGGGGGAUCUUCGGACCUCACGCUAUCAGAUGAGCCUAGGUCGGAUUAGCUAGUUGGUGAGGUAAUGGCUCACCAAGGCGACGAUCCGUAACUGGUCUGAGAGGAUGAUCAGUCACACUGGAACUGAGACACGGUCCAGACUCUACGGGAGGCAGCAGUGGGGAAUAUUGGACAAUGGGCGAAAGCCUGAUCCAGCCAUGCCGCGUGUGUGAAGAAGGUCUUCGGAUUGUAAAGCACUUUAAGUUGGGAGGAAGGGUUGUAGAUUAAUACUCUGCAAUUUUGACGUUACCGACAGAAUAAGCACCGGCUAACUCUGUGCCAGCAGCCGCGGUAAUACAGAGGGUGCAAGCGUUAAUCGGAAUUACUGGGCGUAAAGCGCGCGUAGGUGGUUUGUUAAGUUGAAUGUGAAAUCCCCGGGCUCAACCUGGGAACUGCAUCCAAAACUGGCAAGCUAGAGUAGGGCAGAGGGUGGUGGAAUUUCCUGUGUAGCGGUAAAUGCGUAGAUAUAGGAAGGAACACCAGGCGAAGGCGACCACCGGCUCAU